UAGGGAAUAUUGGACAAUGGGGGCAACCCUGAUCCAGCCAUGCCGCGUGAGUGAAGAAGGCCCUCGGGUUGUAAAGCUCUUUUGUCCGGAAAGAAAAGCAUUCGGUGAAUACCCGGAUGUUCUGACGGUACCGGAAGAAUAAGCACCGGCUAACUACGUGCCAGCAGCCGCGGUAAUACGUAGGGUGCGAGCGUUAAUCGGAAUUACUGGGCGUAAAGCGUGCGCAGGCGGCUUUGUAAGACAGAUGUGAAAUCCCCGGGCUCAACCUGGGAACUGCAUUUGUGACUGCAAGGCUAGAGUGCGUCAGAGGGAGGUGGAAUUCCGCGUGUAGCAGUGAAAUGAGUAGAGAUGCGGAGGAACACCGAUGGCGAAGGCAGCCUCCUGGGAUGACACUGACGCUCAUGCACGAAAGCGUGGGGAGCAAACA
This 427-nucleotide ribosomal RNA is filed under the name uncultured bacterium. RNAcentral describes it as "bacterial SSU rRNA". It matches the Rfam family "Bacterial small subunit ribosomal RNA", at positions 355 to 774 of the family's 1533-position model. The record is from RNAcentral.